Molecule: unclassified non-coding RNA, 245 nt
Filed under: Hevea brasiliensis (rubber tree)
Lineage: Eukaryota; Viridiplantae; Streptophyta; Magnoliopsida; Malpighiales; Euphorbiaceae
Source: RNAcentral
UCAAAACUUCUGAAGAACAACGCUCACAUGCAACUGAAUUAGAAUAUAAAAUCUUGAAAAAAAGGACCAAGAGCACAUCAACAAACAAGGAAACUGGACAUUCAUAUGAUGACAAUAAAGUUCCAGGAGAAAUGCAGCCUGAUAUAAAGAAGCACAGUGCAAGGAGAAUGGAUGUCAAGGAUCGACUGCAAUUUAAAAGAAAGAGAGCUAAGGCACCAAACCCACUUUCAUGCAAGAAGAAAAAG